RNAcentral lists this transfer RNA (69 nucleotides) under Lamprotula tortuosa. RNAcentral's name for it is "tRNA-Glu". The record is from RNAcentral. Lineage: Eukaryota; Metazoa; Mollusca; Bivalvia; Unionida; Unionidae.
CAAGCUAAUUAAGUGUUUUCUCUGGCACAUUGACUUUUCACGUCAAAAGAGCACAAAGUGCACUUAGCU